RNAcentral lists this ribosomal RNA (492 nucleotides) under uncultured bacterium. RNAcentral's name for it is "partial 16S ribosomal RNA". It matches the Rfam family "Bacterial small subunit ribosomal RNA", at positions 29 to 507 of the family's 1533-position model. The record is from RNAcentral.
AGUGAACGCUGGCGGUAGGCCUAACACAUGCAAGUCGAACGGCAGCACAGUAAGAGCUUGCUCUUACGGGUGGCGAGUGGCGGACGGGUGAGGAAUACAUCGGAAUCUACUUUUUCGUGGGGGAUAACGUAGGGAAACUUACGCUAAUACCGCAUACGACCUACGGGUGAAAGCAGGGGAUCUUCGGACCUUGCGCGAUUGAAUGAGCCGAUGUCGGAUUAGCUAGUUGGCGGGGUAAAGGCCCACCAAGGCGACGAUCCGUAGCUGGUGUGAGAGGAUGAUCGGCCACACUGGAACUGGGCCACGGUCAAGACUCCUACGGGAGGCAGCAGUGGGGAAUAUUGGACAAUGGGCGCAAGCCUGAUCCAGCCAUACCGAGUGGGUGAAGAAGGCCUUCGGGUUGUAAAGCCCUUUUGUUGGGAAAGAAAAGCAGCAGGUUAAUACCCCGCUGUUCUGACGGUACCCAAAGAAUAAGCACCGGCUAACUUCGUG